CCUACGGGGGGCAGCAGUGAGGAAUAUUGGUCAAUGGGCGAGAGCCUGAACCAGCCAAGUCGCGUGAAGGAUGACGGCCCUACGGGUUGUAAACUUCUUUUGUCAGGGAGCAAUUGGGUCCACGCGUGGGCUUAGCGAGAGUACCUGAAGAAAAAGCAUCGGCUAACUCCGUGCCAGCAGCCGCGGUAAUACGGAGGAUGCGAGCGUUAUCCGGAUUUAUUGGGUUUAAAGGGUGCGCAGGCGGUUGAGUAAGACAGAUGUGAAAUCCCCGGGCUUAACUCGGGAAUGGCAUAUGUGACUGCUCGACUAGAGUGUGUCAGAGGGAGGUGGAAUUCCACGUGUAGCAGUGAAAUGCGUAGAUAUGUGGAAGAACACCGAUGGCGAAGGCAGCCUCCUGGGACAUAACUGACGCUCAGGCACGAAAGCGUGGGGAGCAAACAGGAUUAGAUACCCCAGUAGUC
Molecule: ribosomal RNA, 461 nt
Filed under: uncultured bacterium
Lineage: Bacteria
Description: partial 16S ribosomal RNA
Rfam family: Bacterial small subunit ribosomal RNA
Source: RNAcentral